RNAcentral lists this unclassified non-coding RNA (315 nucleotides) under Pultenaea reticulata. RNAcentral's name for it is "partial external transcribed spacer". The record is from RNAcentral. Lineage: Eukaryota; Viridiplantae; Streptophyta; Magnoliopsida; Fabales; Fabaceae.
GUAGCAUCCGUUAACGGCAGUUGCGCCCCGGCCCGGGACCGGCCCGGAGGCAAGCGUCAUUCUAGGCAACCGAAAUUCGAGGGACACAAUGGGGCAUCGACCCACGUUCGCCGCAUGGACCGCAUCCGAGAGAACGGUACGUGCCCGUGCACCGCAGGGGGCGUGACGAAGCACGACCGAUGCGGGGCGCGUGCAUUACCUUGGUAUCCUCCGGCAACCCCGCAGAAGGGAGCCCGGAUGGAAGGGGAAUCACGAGCCACGUGUAUACCGUCUAGCAGGUAGCCAGCACAGGAACCGCGAACGAACACCAGAGCC